RNAcentral lists this long non-coding RNA (406 nucleotides) under Ailuropoda melanoleuca (giant panda). RNAcentral describes it as "lncRNA (ENSAMEG00000024686.1)". Lineage: Eukaryota; Metazoa; Chordata; Mammalia; Carnivora; Ursidae. The record is from RNAcentral.
GUACCUGGGGCUAGGACUCCACCAUCUCUUUCUGUGCAACGGAAGGGAGACAGCAACAUGAAGCAGAUUUGAAAACUAUUAAGAGACUACGUGAAUGCUUCUAAAAGUGCUAAAGAUGUCCUUGAUGAACAGCUUUACAAGCCUCUACGUGGAGUCCCUGAAGAAUGAAGUGAUGGUGAUCCAUAAUUUGGUUCUGCUGAAUGCCAAGAACACAGAACACCUGGCCUAGAUCUGCAUAGCAGGAGCAGCGGGAGGCUGCCGGCAGGUGGAGUCACCUGAUGGGGAGCGGAAGGGGCGCACCUGGACCCCCUCACCGAGCCCCACUUUCUCUGAGCAGUAGAGGAGAAAUGAAAAUGGGGAGUGUGAGUUACAGAGAUGGCCACUGUCCCUCUACCAGGCCCUGCUG